AGAACCCAGACCGGCAGCUAAGGUCCCCAAUUCAUCACUAAGUGGUAAAGGAUGUGGGGAGCACUUAAACAGCCAGGAGGUUGGCUUAGAAGCAGCCAUCCUUUAAAGAAAGCGUAACAGCUCACUGGUCGAGUGAACCUGCGCCCGAAAAUUCAACGGGUCUAAGUGAUGAACCGAAGCUCCGGGGUCAGCGAAAGCUGGCGGUAGGCGAGUAUUGUCUAUGCGGUGAAGGCAUACGGAAACGAGUGUUGGAGCGUAGACAAGAGCUGACGUUGACAUGAGUAACGAAUAAAUAAUGAGUUAAUUUUUAUUAUCAUUAUCACCGUAAAUCUAAAAGUUUUCAACGUUAAGUUAUACUUCGUUGAGUUAAUCGGUCUCUAAGUUUUUUAUUGAAAAUAGAAUGAUGAG
This 408-nucleotide ribosomal RNA is filed under the name uncultured bacterium. RNAcentral's name for it is "bacterial LSU rRNA". It matches the Rfam family "Bacterial large subunit ribosomal RNA", at positions 1022 to 1422 of the family's 2925-position model. The record is from RNAcentral.